RNAcentral lists this ribosomal RNA (305 nucleotides) under uncultured bacterium. Its description in RNAcentral is "partial 16S ribosomal RNA". It matches the Rfam family "Bacterial small subunit ribosomal RNA", at positions 335 to 654 of the family's 1533-position model. The record is from RNAcentral.
CCCCCUACGGGGGGCAGCAGUGGGGAAUAUUGCACAAUGGGGGAAACCCUGAUGCAGCGACGCCGCGUGAGCGAAGAAGUAUUUCGGUAUGUAAAGCUCUAUCAGCAGGGAAGAAAAAAAUGACGGUACCUGAGUAAGAAGCACCGGCUAAAUACGUGCCAGCAGCCGCGGUAAUACGUAUGGUGCAAGCGUUAUCCGGAUUUACUGGGUGUAAAGGGAGCGUAGACGGCAUUGCAAGUCCGGAGUGAAAGCCCACGGCCCAACCGUGGGACUGCUCUGGAAACUGUAGAGCUGGAGUGCGGGAG